RNAcentral lists this ribosomal RNA (232 nucleotides) under uncultured fungus. RNAcentral's name for it is "partial small subunit ribosomal RNA". The record is from RNAcentral. Lineage: Eukaryota; Fungi.
GGCCGGGCCGGGCGGUCCGCCGCUUCGGUGGCGCGUACUGCUCGCGGGCCGGGCCCUGCCUCUUGGGGAACCCGCGCGGCCGUGGCUCUCGGGCCGCGGUGCGCGGGCGAGCCAAGACGUUUACCUUGAAAAAAUUAGAGUGUUCAAAGCGGGCGCACGCUUGCAUAGAUUAGCAUGGAAUAAUGGAAGAGGACCUGUGGUCUUGCUUUUGUUGGUUUUGUUGGCCGCGGUA